CCCCAGUCAGGCGGGACUACC
Molecule: ribosomal RNA, 21 nt
Filed under: Dendropanax arboreus
Lineage: Eukaryota; Viridiplantae; Streptophyta; Magnoliopsida; Apiales; Araliaceae
Description: partial 26S ribosomal RNA
Source: RNAcentral